GACACUCCCGACCCUUCAAUGACGAAACUCUGCCUCGCCCAACGAAACUCCGCCUCGCCCGACCCACAGUCCUAGGGUCGGGUGCGCCCGACCCCUCGCCGCAAGGCUCCGCCUCGCCCAACCCUAGGUGCAUGGGGGUCAGACUCAUCCGGGCUCACAAGAUAAGGGUCCGCCUCGGGCGAGGACCGGCAAACGAGGGCACGGAUCUCGUGGGCCCUCCACCCAUCUUGCCAUAAAUGCGUUGCGGCACUGGCGCGUAGAAAGGCGCCUGUGCCCCUCGACGUGACCCGCCACAAGUACCCGGGCGGAACACUAUAGCCACGACCGCACAGG
RNAcentral lists this long non-coding RNA (333 nucleotides) under Setaria viridis. Its description in RNAcentral is "long non-coding RNA (SVIR_LNC004495)". The record is from RNAcentral. Lineage: Eukaryota; Viridiplantae; Streptophyta; Magnoliopsida; Poales; Poaceae.